Long non-coding RNA from Arachis duranensis, 377 nucleotides. RefSeq lists it as uncharacterized. The record is from RefSeq and is a predicted model, not a curated record. Lineage: Eukaryota; Viridiplantae; Streptophyta; Magnoliopsida; Fabales; Fabaceae. The transcript has 2 exons.
AGCAAUUCUUUGAUACAAACCGAUUCAUUCACCUGCGAAUCAAGAAAGAAAGAAAGAAAGCUAAUGCAGUUGCAAAAGCUUGUCCAAGAAAAAGAAUCAAUAAAGUGGUGCAUCAUAAGAUGAGGGCUUGGAACGUGAACAAAGUAGUGCAUGGUGAGCAAGCUCCGAGGCCAAUUCGGCACCGUUUCUCCAUCUCCUCUUUCUUCUUCGAUAGAUUGUAUCGAUGCUAAAAGAACCAACCAGAUUCCAUAAUGGAACGAGGAGAGAAGAGGAGGAGAAUUAUCAGGAGCGAUAUCGGUUUUGACUGCAUGAUUUUUUUUUCUUUGUAUAAAGAACACAAUAAUAAAAUAAAAGUAAAGUAUUGUUUUUAUCCCUAA